AUUAACGCGGAAGAACAUGUAAAGGUGUUGCAGGGCUCCAUACCGCGCAUGUUCGCUACGGAACUGGACUACAGAAUGUCAGUCUGUCAAAUUCACCUGUGCUCUCUUCUCAUCAAAGAACAUUUUGGUGACAUUGUAGAGAAGGUCUGCACGCAUCUGAUCCAGAAUGGAGCCAAACCUUUGCGAGUUGCAGCUCAGGAAACCGGGCUCAAAAUUGACCAGGUGCGUAAAGCAUUGUGCGUCCUCGUCCAGCACAAUAUUGCCUCCUUUGGCUUGCACAAGCGUGGCUUUGUGGAGUACGCAGCCAGCGUGGAGCAGGUCCUGCUGUUGGUGCGAUACCCACGGUACAUCUACUGUGCGAAGACGCUGUACGGGGAUGCGGGGGAGCUGAUCGUGGAAGAGAUCCUUCAGCACGGUCAGAUGAGGAUGAGCACGGUGGUGGGGCGGGUCACACAGAGGCUGUCAGAAGGCGGGCAGUCAGUCACCAACGACCAUGUCAAGGGUAAGAUGGAGGACCUGAUCAACACCCACUUCCUGCAGAGGGUACCGGCCCCGCCCCCUGACAACAACAAAGCAGCCUUCCCUGAACUUACGAUCAGCGAACGAGACCUGUACAGGGUGCCCGCCAGCAUUGAAGUGACCCGAGGAGAAUCUGACACCUCAAAACGGAAACGAUCAACAGAAGACAGUGACCCACAGAGCUCUAGCAAGAGGCUGAAGAUUGACAGUGAAGAGCAUGCAGCCGACGAGGGUAUCCUUUGGCAUUUGAACUUUGACCGUUUCCACAAGUACCUACUUGACCACGAGAUCGUACAGGCCGUGAGUCGCAGGAUAGACUGGAAUGCAGCAGAGGUGGUGCGCACGAUGCUGAGGAUCAGCGAGUUAUCCAAGGGACUUGAGGACAAGACCUCUCAUCCAAUCUCUCUCAACGACACCAUGAGAAAUCUGCCUAAGGAGAACAAUAUGAAGUUUGGUGUCGUGGAGCAGUACUUCAAGCUGCUUUCAGAUGACCAGACUAGCAUCGUGACCAAGGUGGGCGAGACUGGAGGUGGCUCAUAUACCCUCGAUUUCCAGAAUGCCUGCAAGGCUCUGGUUGUCUCCACCAUAGAGUCAGUUGUGCAGGAGAGGUUUGGCUCCAAGAGCUUCCGUAUCUUCAAGACGUUACUGCUCAAGAAGUACCUGGAACAGAAACAGGUGGAGGAGUUUGCCCUCAUCCCAGCUAAGGAGGCCAAGGAGCUCCUGUACAAGAUGUUCUCCGAGCAUUUUGUCACCAUGCAGGAGAUCCCGCGGACCCCCGACCACGCCCCGUCCCGCACCUUCUUCCUCUUCACGGUCGACGUCAGCCAAGUCAGCCGCAUGCUGCUGGAGCGAUGCUACAAGUCCUUGGCAAACGUGAUCAGCAGACGAGCAUUUGAGACCAAGGAGAACAAGCGCUUGAUUGAGAAAUCCCAGCGCGUGGAGGCCAUCGCGGCCUCGCUUCAGAGCCACGGAGCCGACCAAUCACAGACGGCGGAGGUGGAGGACAUGAUUACACCCUUGGAGAAAAACCAGCUGGAGAAAUACCGCAGCAAAAUGUCCAAGUUGGAGCAGAGUGAGCUACAAGUGGACUCCACCAUUUUCACAUUGGGUAACUUCUUACGACUGGAGUCUGAUAGUUGAUACCGGGGCACAACAGGUACAUCUGUCUGUCGUCUUGCCUUAUGUGUUGUCUGUACCACCAGGCUGAGCCAAGCCCCGAAAACGGUGGUUGUUAAUUAACAAGAAAUGCAUAUUAGUAUACAAUUUCAUUGGAGUCUAUUGCUUUUAUGUAUGCACAAUUGCAAGCGACACGUUUUUGUGCAACAGAUGCAAGCACUCAGCUCUGAAGCUGUAGGAGCUUCACCUGAUGUAUGGGUGAACAACAAAUGGAAUGGUCGCUGGCAGCGGGAAGACUGCCAAUUGCGUCAGUACCUUCCGAAGCCAACCAGGAAACCAGCCGGGCAUGACCUGCAAAGAGCACACACAGUGGGUGCUGCUGAACCGGCUCCGCUCCGCUCUAGCCACAGCAGGUACGCUGCAUUCACGCAUUGGAUCGGCCUCAGCAAUAGCGACAGAUGUGUCUGUGGGGAAGGUCAAACCACCCAUCAUGUGCUCUCCUGCGCAGUCAUCCUCUCCUGCCUAACCAUCGGCAUUCCCAGUAGCGUUAGGGACAUUAACAACGCCUUUCGGCGGUGGUAUCUGCUCCGUUCACAAGUCCCCCUCACCGGCAAAGAAAGUACAGUUGGGGGUGACCGAUCGACGCCAUCUUGCCUGACUGCAAUAUUUUGCCGUGAACCGCGGCCACUGAUUGUACAUAGUACAAAUCCCCUGAUGUAGGUGCAUCGCACAAAAGGAACGAUGCGCGCGCGUCAACCAGCGAAAUGUAUCAUGUCCCGACCAUGGGACGUCGUUGCUAGAUAAAUGGGCGCCCUCUUUAGUUCGCGCACGGAGCCCAUAGUCAAACCGGACUGACUCUGUGAUGUAUGAUUUCUCUCAUAUGCUUAAAUAUACAAUGUCUAAAUGUAAGUACAGUUUUAAGGAAUUGAGUGGACAGACCAAAUCUUUCUAUAAAUUACAAUGUCUUAUUAUAUCUUCUAUGAGUUGAACAAGGUUGGCUUUUGUGCAGAAUAUUUCGACUUCUCCAUUCUUUUUGUGAGUGUAAAACACACACCAGGUAUGUUUGACGUUUCUGAAUGUGGCAUGUCUUAAACCAGUAAAAUGCAAGAACUGAUAAAUAAUCCAGCUUAUUACUGUUGUUUCAUUUGCCUGAUUUCCAUUCAAAAACAGAUGAAAGAACAUCAUGGACAAUCAUUAAUCUCGAACACAAGGUUUAUUUCAAAUUUACUUGUCCAAAUGUGUAAACCCUUAAUAACAAAUACAAAACUGAAUUUGUAAAUCAUGUUUUAAUAAAUGGCUUUUCAAACUUACGGUCUCAUGCGGUUAAUUAUUUUUUUAGAGUUUGGUUUAAUUAAGGGCCAAAGCCUUAUCCUUUGUUUAAAAAGCGUUAUUAAAAUUAGGGACGAAAAUGUACAUGUUAUACUUCAAGAUGAAUAUUAAGAUAUGUUUGUCCACCUUUUGAAUGAGAAUAAAGAGACAUAAAAAUAGAGAAAGAUAAACCAA
RNA transcript from Patiria miniata (bat star), 3138 nucleotides. It is a transcript of the gene named DNA-directed RNA polymerase III subunit RPC3-like, with no coding region annotated. NCBI's taxonomy places the organism in Eukaryota, Metazoa, Echinodermata, Asteroidea, Valvatida, Asterinidae. The transcript has 12 exons. The record is from RefSeq and is a predicted model, not a curated record.